CUCGCUUGGAUGAGCCUCGGUGUGCUGCUGUCCAUCCUGAUGGCGUCAGGACUGGUUGCCAUCCUGUCUCUGCUCUGCUGUCUGUUAAGAUGUCUAAAAUCUGGAUCGGACCAGGACAAGAGGAAGGACGCUGCUGUGUUCAACUAUGGAGAGAAAGAGGGCCAGAAAGUGUCCAGAGUAUAGCUGAUGAUACCGUCCUCACAUCGUACCGACCAUCCUCACAUCGUACCGACCGUCCUCACAUCGUACCGACCGUCCUCACAUCGUACCGACCGUCCUCACAUCGUACCGACCGUCCUCACAUCGUACCGACCGUCCUCACAUCGUACCGACCGUCCUCACAUCGUACCGACCGUCCUCACAUCGUACCGACCGUCCUCACAUCGUACCGACCGUCCUCACAUCGUACCGUCCGUACCCAUAUCGUACAGACCUCCUGUCCUCAACAUGUGAAGAAACCUGAGGAACCAGCACACAGUCCUGAAAAUGAACCAUCAGUUCACCUCCUCAUCCCACAAAGGCCGACUACACUACACAGAAUUUACAGUGUAAAUCAUUCACUUCCUGGUUUUGACCCUCUGACAUAGAAUAUAUUACUGGUUGUAUGAAAGGGAACAUUAUAAACACAUUGCACGAUGGGUAUAUUUAGAUCAGAGGAUGAAGGAGUCUGUGUCUCAAGUAGCACCCUGUUCCCUUUAUAGUGCACUUAUUUUGACCAGAUCCCAUAGGGGAUAGGCUGUCAUUUGGAAUGUCAAGAAGGGUGCAUGCAGCAGCUCUCACGCUUUGGACAUCCGCCUUCAGUAUUUCUCUCCUGCCAGUUAAACUCCCUUUUUCAUUUGUUGUUGACAGACCAAGGCUGACAGAACUUUGGAACUUGAGAAUCCUUUGAGUUCCGAGUGAAGAGGGGACAGGAAGGCAUGGGGUGUGUUAUUACAACGGGGCAGGCAGAGAGGGUACAGCUGAGGGUACAGUCCCCGUCAUAGUUCACCCGCCCGACACAAAGCGUGUCGAGAUUCUGAGACAGUGACAGUGCCAUGUGAAGCGGUCUAGUUCUAGGACUAGAGGUUCUCAGCAGACAGAGGCCAAGCUAGGCUAGCUGUGGAGACCAGGGUGUUAAAUUGAGAUUCUAAGGUCAACUAACCAGAACAUGGCUCAGAGAUUCUCUCACACAGUAACAAUGCCAUGUGAAGCGGUCUAGUUCUAGGGCUAGAGGUUCUCAGCAGACAGAGGCCAAGCUAGGCUAGCUGUGGAGACCAGGGUGUUAAAUUGAGAUUCUAAGGUCAACUAACCAGAACAUGGCUCAGAGAUUCUCUCACACAGUAACAAUGCCAUGUGAAGCGGUCUAGUUCUAGGGCUAGAGGUUCUCAGCAGACAGAGGCCAAGCUAGGCUAGCUGUGGAGACCAGGGUGUUAAAUUGAGAUUCUAAGGUCAACUAACCAGAACAUGGCUCAGAGAUUCUCUCACACAGUAACAAUGCCAUGUGAAGCGGUCUAGUUCUAGGGCUAGAGGUUCUCAGCAGACAGAGGCCAAGCUAGGCUAGCUGUGGAGACCAGGGUGUUAAAUUGAGAUUCUAAGGUCAACUAACCAGAACAUGGCUCAGAGAUUCUCUCACACAGUAACAAUGCCAUGUGAAGCUUCUAGGCAGCCAGUGCUUCCAAUAAAACAACAGGGGAGAGUGGGGGAAGGU
Molecule: long non-coding RNA, 1687 nt
Organism: Oncorhynchus masou masou (cherry salmon)
Lineage: Eukaryota; Metazoa; Chordata; Actinopteri; Salmoniformes; Salmonidae
Exons: 3
Source: RefSeq, a predicted model, not a curated record